CAUAAAGUAGCGAGCACGACUCC
RNAcentral lists this microRNA (23 nucleotides) under Alligator mississippiensis (American alligator). RNAcentral's name for it is "Ami-Mir-142-P4-v3_5p* (star (passenger))". The record is from RNAcentral. Lineage: Eukaryota; Metazoa; Chordata; Crocodylia; Alligatoridae.